GUGGGGAAUCUUGCGCAAUGGGCGAAAGCCUGACGCAGCCAUGCCGCGUGAAUGAUGAAGGUCUUAGGAUUGUAAAAUUCUUUCACCGGGGACGAUAAUGACGGUACCCGGAGAAGAAGCCCCGACUAACUUCGUGCCAGCAGCCGCGGUAAUACGAAGGGGGCUAGCGUUGCUCGGAAUUACUGGGCGUAAAGGGAGCGUAGGCGGACAUUUAAGUCAGGGGUGAAAUCCCGGGGCUCAACCUCGGAAUUGCCUUUGAUACUGGGUGUCUUGAGUGUGAGAGAGGUAUGUGGAACUCCGAGUGUAGAGGUGAAAUUCGUAGAUAUUCGGAAGAACACCAGUGGCGAAGGCGACAUACUGGCUCAUUACUGACGCUGAGGCUCGAAAGCGUGGGGAGCAAACAGGAUUAGAAACCCUAGUAGUCC
This 425-nucleotide ribosomal RNA is filed under the name uncultured bacterium. RNAcentral describes it as "partial 16S ribosomal RNA". It matches the Rfam family "Bacterial small subunit ribosomal RNA", at positions 354 to 796 of the family's 1533-position model. The record is from RNAcentral.